This 824-nucleotide ribosomal RNA is filed under the name uncultured bacterium. RNAcentral's name for it is "bacterial SSU rRNA". It matches the Rfam family "Bacterial small subunit ribosomal RNA", at positions 8 to 832 of the family's 1533-position model. The record is from RNAcentral.
AGAGUUUGAUCCUGGCUCAGGAUGAACGCUGGCUGCGUGCUUAACACAUGCAAGUCGAACGAAGCACCUGAGAACGAUUCUUCGGAUGAAGUCUCUUGUGACUGAGUGGCGGACGGGUGAGUAACGCGUGGGUAACCUGCCUCACACAGGGGGAUAACAGUUGGAAACGACCGCUAAUACCGCAUAACCCGCUGGUGCCGCAUGGCACUGACGGAAAAGAUUUAUCGGUGUGAGAUGGACCCGCGUCUGAUUAGCCAGUUGGCAGGGUAACGGCCUACCAAAGCGACGAUCAGUAGCCGGCCUGAGAGGGUGAACGGCCACAUUGGGACUGAGACACGGCCCAGACUCCUGCGGGAGGCAGCAGUGGGGAAUAUUGCACAAUGGGGGAAACCCUGAUGCAGCGACGCCGCGUGAGUGAAGAAGUAUUUCGGUAUGUAAAGCUCUAUCAGCAGGGAAGAAAAUGACGGUACCUGAUUAAGAAGCCCCGGCUAACUACGUGCCAGCAGCCGCGGUAAUACGUAGGGGGCAAGCGUUAUCCGGAUUUACUGGGUGUAAAGGGAGCGUAGACGGUGAUGCAAGUCAGAAGUGAAAGCCCGGGGCUCAACUCCGGGACUGCUUUUGAAACUGUGUGACUGGAGUGCAGGAGAGGUAAGCGGAAUUCCUGGUGUAGCGGUGAAAUGCGUAGAUAUCAGGAGGAACACCAGUGGCGAAGGCGGCUUACUGGACUGUAACUGACGUUGAGGCUCGAAAGCGUGGGGAGCAAACGGGAUUAGAUACCCUGGUAGUCCACGCAGUAAACGAUGAUAACUCUCUUGUCGGCGAUA